GAGUGACACUAAUAAGCAAAAAUAAAAGGGAAUAUUAUUAUUAAGAUGAAAUCUUCAAUGGUGUCUUCCAUGGUUCUCGUUCUCCUUCUUCUUCUUGUGUUUCCGCAUAUGGAUAAAGCCCUUGGCGCACAAGAGGGAGCCAAGAAACAAAGUGGAGAAGACACUUACCAUCCUAAUGGCUUUGUUGAUCCUCGCCGGUUGAUCCCCCAUAUACCUUGUUUUAAUUGUAGACGUAAACCCGAAAUAUUUACUCCUCCUAUACCCUACACGUCUUUCGAAGGCACACAAGGAGUACCUGGUCAUUGAUCUCACUCUAGCCCCGAAUGCGUGUGUGUGCACAUGUUUCUUACAUUGUGGUUUAUGUUCAGUGUUUAUCUAUCUCUAUGCAUGUGUUUGUCCUGUCUUUCAGUUUUAUCAAACCGCGCCGCUAUAAUAAAUAAAAUUUGUAUUCCCUUU
Molecule: long non-coding RNA, 456 nt
Organism: Capsella rubella
Lineage: Eukaryota; Viridiplantae; Streptophyta; Magnoliopsida; Brassicales; Brassicaceae
Exons: 2
Source: RefSeq, a predicted model, not a curated record